Molecule: ribosomal RNA, 504 nt
Filed under: uncultured bacterium
Lineage: Bacteria
Description: bacterial SSU rRNA
Rfam family: Bacterial small subunit ribosomal RNA
Source: RNAcentral
CUGGCGGCGUGCCUAACACAUGCAAGUCGAACGGGGAUUUGUUUCGGCAGAAUCCUAGUGGCGAACGGGUGAGUAACGCGUAGGCAACCUGCCCUCCGGCCGGGGACAACACUCCGAAAGGGGUGCUAAUACCGGAUACGAAGUCUGUGCCGCAUGGUACGGAUUUGAAAGAUGGCCUCUAUUUAUAAGCUAUCGCCGGGGGAUGGGCCUGCGUCCGACUAGCUGGUUGGUGGGGUAACGGCCUACCAAGGCGACGAUCGGUAGCCGGUCUGAGAGGAUGAACGGCCACAUUGGGACUGAGACACGGCCCAGACUCCUACGGGAGGCAGCAGUGGGGAAUCUUCCGCAAUGGGCGCAAGCCUGACGGAGCAACGCCGCGUGAGUGAGGAAGUUCUUCGGAACGUAAAGCUCUGUUGUUCCUGACGAACCUCCCUUCUAUCAACAACGGAAGGGACUGACGGUAGGGAACGAGGAAGCCACGGCUAACUACGUGCCAGCAGCCGC